GACGAACGCUGGCGGCGUGCUUAACACAUGCAAGUCGAACGGAAAGGCCCUGCUUUUGUGGGGUGCUCGAGUGGCGAACGGGUGAGUCACACGUGAGUAACCUGCCCUUGACUUUGGGAUAACUUCAGGAAACUGGGGCUAAUACCGGAUAGGAGCUCCUGCUGCAUGGUGGGGGUUGGAAAGUUUCGGCGGUUGGGGAUGGACUCGCGGCUUAUCAGCUUGUUGGUGGGGUAGUGGCUUACCAAGGCUUUGACGGGUAGCCGGCCUGAGAGGGUGACCGGCCACAUUGGGACUGAGAUACGGCCCAGACUCCUACGGGAGGCAGCAGUGGGGAAUAUUGCACAAUGGGCGGAAGCCGGAUGCAGCAACGCCGCGUGCGGGAUGACGGCCUUCGGGUUGUAAACCGCUUUCGCCUGUGACGAAGCGUGAGUGACGGUAAUGGGUAAAGAAGCACCGGCUAACUACGUG
RNAcentral lists this ribosomal RNA (468 nucleotides) under uncultured bacterium. RNAcentral's name for it is "partial 16S ribosomal RNA". It matches the Rfam family "Bacterial small subunit ribosomal RNA", at positions 28 to 507 of the family's 1533-position model. The record is from RNAcentral.